Molecule: ribosomal RNA, 686 nt
Filed under: uncultured bacterium
Lineage: Bacteria
Description: bacterial SSU rRNA
Rfam family: Bacterial small subunit ribosomal RNA
Source: RNAcentral
AGAGUUUGAUCCUGGCUCAGAUUGAACGCUGGCGGCAUGCCUUACACAUGCAAGUCGAACGGCAGCACGGAGCUUGCUCUGGUGGCGAGUGGCGAACGGGUGAGUAAUAUAUCGGAACGUACCCUAGAGUGGGGGAUAACGUAGCGAAAGUUACGCUAAUACCGCAUACGAUCUAAGGAUGAAAGUGGGGGAUCGCAAGACCUCAUGCUCGUGGAGCGGCCGAUAUCUGAUUAGCUAGUUGGUAGGGUAAAAGCCUACCAAGGCAUCGAUCAGUAGCUGGUCUGAGAGGACGACCAGCCACACUGGAACUGAGACACGGUCCAGACUCCUACGGGAGGCAGCAGUGGGGAAUUUUGGACAAUGGGCGAAAGCCUGAUCCAGCAAUGCCGCGUGAGUGAAGAAGGCCUUCGGGUUGUAAAGCUCUUUUGUCAGGGAAGAAACGGUGAAAGCUAAUAUCUUUUGCUAAUGACGGUACCUGAAGAAUAAGCACCGGCUAACUACGUGCCAGCAGCCGCGGUAAUACGUAGGGUGCAAGCGUUAAUCGGAAUUACUGGGCGUAAAGCGUGCGCAGGCGGUUUUGUAAGUCUGAUGUGAAAUCCCCGGGCUCAACCUGGGAAUUGCAUUGGAGACUGCAAGGCUAGAAUCUGGCAGAGGGGGGUAGAAUUCCACGUGUAGCAGUGAAAUGC